Long non-coding RNA from Mugil cephalus (flathead mullet), 440 nucleotides. RefSeq lists it as uncharacterized. The record is from RefSeq and is a predicted model, not a curated record. The transcript has 3 exons. Lineage: Eukaryota; Metazoa; Chordata; Actinopteri; Mugiliformes; Mugilidae.
CCAACUCACGGGAGAAGAAGCCGUUACGGUUUAAGAGGAACCCCCCGCAACCGCAGAUCACGACGAUCAGAAAGACGACCACCACCCCUGCAACCACCGCUGCAACGUUGACGUCCUCUGGUAGGAGGGAAUGAAGAGAGUAUGUUGCCGGUGGGAUGCUAUGCCGGUCCCUACAGUGCAGCUGCACCACUGAGCCGGUCACUGCGGAGCUGGGGAUGUCACAGGACGGGAUUUGAGGCGGCACUGAAGGAUAAGGAACCGGAAAGUAAAGCUUGAGCACACCAGCCAAGUCGAAGGGCUGACAGAGUCCAGAGGAGCGCUGAUCUCACAGCGGUACUCUCCGGCAUCUUCCUGGGUCACCUUACGAAGUUUCACCGUCGCCCCGUCAAUGGACGCUCGGCCCUCCAAGGGACCUGAGAGCAAGAAGACAAGGUCAGGAU